GACGAACGCUGGCGGCGUGCUUAACACAUGCAAGUCGAGCGGUAAGGCCCUUUCGGGGGUACACGAGCGGCGAACGGGUGAGUAACACGUGGGUGACCUGCCCUCAGCUCUGGGACAAGCCUGGGAAACCGGGUCUAAUACUGGAUAUGACUCCAUGACGCAUGUUGUGGGGUGGAAAGCCUUGUGCGGCUGAGGAUGGGCCCGCGGCCUAUCAGCUUGUUGGUGGGGUGANGGCCUACCAAGGCGACGACGGGUAGCCGGCCUGAGAGGGCGACCGGCCACACUGGGACUGAGACACGGCCCAGACUCCUACGGGAGGCAGCAGUGGGGAAUCUUGCGCAAUGGGCGAAAGCCUGGCGCAGCGACGCCGCGUGAGGGAUGACGGCCUGG
Molecule: ribosomal RNA, 390 nt
Filed under: uncultured bacterium
Lineage: Bacteria
Description: bacterial SSU rRNA
Rfam family: Bacterial small subunit ribosomal RNA
Source: RNAcentral